GACGAACGCUGGCGGCGUGCCUAAUACAUGCAAGUUGAGCGCUGAAGGUUGGUACUUGUACCGACUGGAUGAGCAGCGAACGGGUGAGUAACGCGUGGGGAAUCUGCCUUUGAGCGGGGGACAACAUUUGGAAACGAAUGCUAAUACCGCAUAAAAACUUUAAACACAAGUUUUAAGUUUGAAAGAUGCAAUUGCAUCACUCAAAGAUGAUCCCGCGUUGUAUUAGCUAGUUGGUGAGGUAAAGGCUCACCAAGGCGAGGAUACAUAGCCGACCUGAGAGGCGGAGCGGCCACGUUGGGACUGGGACACGGCCCAACCUACUGCGGGAGGCAGCAGGAGGGAAUCUUCGGCAAUGGACGAAAGUCUGAACGAGCAACGCCGCGUGAGUGAAGAAGGUUGUCGGGUCGUAAAACUCUGUUGGUAGGGAAGAACGUUGGUGAGAGUGGAAAGCUCAUCAAGUGACGGUAACUACCCAGAAAGGGACGGCUAACUACGUG
This 497-nucleotide ribosomal RNA is filed under the name uncultured bacterium. RNAcentral describes it as "partial 16S ribosomal RNA". It matches the Rfam family "Bacterial small subunit ribosomal RNA", at positions 28 to 507 of the family's 1533-position model. The record is from RNAcentral.